This 497-nucleotide ribosomal RNA is filed under the name uncultured bacterium. Its description in RNAcentral is "partial 16S ribosomal RNA". It matches the Rfam family "Bacterial small subunit ribosomal RNA", at positions 28 to 507 of the family's 1533-position model. The record is from RNAcentral.
GAUGAACGCUGGCGGCGUGCCUAGUACAUGCAAGUCGAGCGAACGGACGAGAAGCUUGCUUCUCUGAUGUUAGCGGCGGACGGGUGAGUAACACGUGGAUAACCUACCUAUAAGACUGGGAUAACUUCGGGAAACCGUAGCUAAUACCGGAUAAUAUUUUGAACCGCAUGGUUCAAAAGUGAAAGACGGUCUUGCUGUCACUUAUAGAUGGAUCCGCGCUGCAUUAGCUAGUUGGUAAGGUAACGGCUUACCAAGGCAACGAUGCAUAGCCGACCUGAGAGGGUGAUCGGCGACACUGGAACUGAGACACGGUCCAGACUCCUACGGGAGGCAGCAGUAGGGAAUCUUCCGCAAUGGGGGAAAGCCUGACGGAGCAACGCCGCGUGAGUGAUGAAGGUCUUCGGAUCGUAAAACUCUGUUAUUAGGGAAGAACAGAUGUGUAAGUAACUGUGCACAUCUUGACGGUACCUAAUCAGAAAGCCACGGCUAACUACGUG